ACGAGUUUAAUUGUUUAGGUUAGAGUUGAGCUGGUUAAUUAAUUAAUAUGUCUUACUCUAAUCGAAACAAGUCCACUCAUUACUUAACACUUGUGAACUUAUUCAUUACAACAUUAUUAUUUGUUAUUGGAACGUUUGAUUAUUAAACAGUUAAUAC
Molecule: unclassified non-coding RNA, 157 nt
Filed under: soil metagenome
Description: partial internal transcribed spacer 1
Source: RNAcentral